UCCCCUUCUUCGCCUUUUGGCUAAGAUCAAGUUUAGUAUUUGUUCUUAUCAGUUUAAUAUCUAACACGUGGUCCAAUGGACCUCAUGAUGUUAAGUUCUUAUCAGUUUAAUAUCUGAUAUGUGGUCCAAUGAACGUCAUGAUGUUAAAUUAAUUUUUCUCUGGGGGAGGGACCACCAUACUAGCUUACUAGUGGGUCCCUUGGGCGUCGCCCAUGCAUUGCACUACUGCAGGGGCCUGACGCACCCCUA
This 249-nucleotide small nuclear RNA is filed under the name Amborella trichopoda. Its description in RNAcentral is "snRNA U2". It matches the Rfam family "U2 spliceosomal RNA". From Rfam's summary of the family: U2 is a small nuclear RNA (snRNA) component of the spliceosome (involved in pre-mRNA splicing). Complementary binding between U2 snRNA (in an area lying towards the 5' end but 3' to hairpin I) and the branchpoint sequence (BPS) of the intron results the bulging out of an unpaired adenosine, on the BPS, which initiates a nucleophilic attack at the intronic 5' splice site, thus starting the first of two transesterification reactions that mediate splicing. Lineage: Eukaryota; Viridiplantae; Streptophyta; Magnoliopsida; Amborellales; Amborellaceae. The record is from Rfam by way of RNAcentral.